Molecule: ribosomal RNA, 511 nt
Filed under: uncultured bacterium
Lineage: Bacteria
Description: bacterial SSU rRNA
Rfam family: Bacterial small subunit ribosomal RNA
Source: RNAcentral
CCUGGCUUAGGAUGAACGCUAGCUACAGGCUUAACACAUGCAAGUCGAGGGGCAGCAUUGGGAUAGCUUGCUAUCCAGAUGGCGACCGGCGCACGGGUGAGUAACGCGUAUCCAACCUUCCCUAUAGUAGAGAAUAGCCCGGCGAAAGUCGGAUUAAUGCUCUAUGUUGUGUUUUGAGGACAUCUGACGAACACCAAAGGUUCACCGCUAUAGGAUGGGGAUGCGUCUGAUUAGCUUGUUGGCGGGGUAACGGCCCACCAAGGCGACGAUCAGUAGGGGUUCUGAGAGGAAGGUCCCCCACAUUGGUACUGAGACACGGACCAAACUCCUACGGGAGGCAGCAGUGAGGAAUAUUGGUCAAUGGGCGAGAGCCUGAACCAGCCAAGUAGCGUGCAGGAUUGACUGCCCUAUGGGUUGUAAACUGCUUUUAUCAGGGAAUAAAGUGCGGCACGUGUGCCGUUUUGUAUGUACCUGAUGAAUAAGGACCGGCUAAUUCCGUGCCAGCAGCUGC